ACAUCCAACCUUCCCCUGUCUCGGGCAUAACCCGGUGAAAACCGGACUAAUUCCCGAUGUUGUUCCUUGACGGCAUCAGAUUGAAACCAAAGAUUUAUCGGACAUGGAUGGGGAUGCGUCUGAUUAGCUUGUUGGCGGGGUAACGGCCCACCAAGGCUACCAUCAGUAGGGGUUCUGAGAGGAAGGUCCCCCACAUUGGAACUGAGACACGGUCCAAACUCCUACCGCAGGCAGCACUGAGGAAUAUUGGUCAAUGGGCGCGAGCCUGAACCAGCCAAGUAGCGUGCAGGAUGACGGCCCUAUGGGUUGUAAACUGCUUUUAUACGGGGAUAAAGUUAGGGACGUGUCCCUAUUUGCAGGUACCGUAUGAAUAAGGACCGGCUAAUUCCGUGCCAGCAGCCGCGGUAAUACGGAAGGUCCGGGCGUUAUCCGGAUUUAUUGGGUUUAAAGGGAGCGUAGGCCGGAGAUUAAGCGUGUUGUGAGAUGUAGACGCUCAACGUCUGAAUUGCAGCGCGAACUGGUUUCCUUGAGUACGUAGGAAGUUGGCGGAAUUCGUGGUGUAGCGGUGAAAUGCUUAGAUAUCACGAAGAACUCCGAUUGCGAAGGCAGCUGACUGUAUCGUAACUGACGCUGAAGCCCGAAAGUGUGGGUAUCGAACAGGAUUAGAUACCCUGGUAGUCCACACGGUAAACGAUGGAUGCUCGC
Molecule: ribosomal RNA, 705 nt
Filed under: uncultured Bacteroidota bacterium
Lineage: Bacteria; Pseudomonadati; Bacteroidota
Description: bacterial SSU rRNA
Rfam family: Bacterial small subunit ribosomal RNA
Source: RNAcentral